UGCCAAGGUAAGCCAGGGUGUGGCCAAGUAUUUAGAGGUCGAUUGGAAAUUACAUUGUAUUUACAGACCUCAAAGUUCAGGACAGGUAGGGUAAAUAAAUAGAACUCUAAAAGAGACCCUGACCAAAUUAACCAUGGAGACUGGCGCAGACUGGGUGACACUCCUUCCCUCUUGCUCUCUUCAGAGCAAGAAAUACCCCUUCCAGAUUCAGCCUUACCCCCUUUGAGAUCUUAUAUGGGGCCUCAGCCCCACUGACUGUAUUAGAUGAUGUUACUGAACCAACAUGUCAUAGUGCCAUAGUAAUAAUGAUUUGUGUGCCAGGCUAAAAGACCUACAGGUGAUACAGAAAGAAAUCUGCUCACAGCUGACAGCAGCCUAUGCCCCGGAGACCCCUGAGACAUCCCAUCAGUUCCAGGUUGCAGCUACACUGAGUCCAGACACUCGAGCCUCGCUGGAAAGGACCGAACCUGGUGCUGCUGACCACCCUGACAGCUGUCAAUUCUCAGCCCUCACCAGCCGUGUACUAGCUGUUGGGGCUGAGAGCUGGGACCUAGAGGGAAAUUCAGUCAUGUUUGUCCUGGGUUCUAUCAAGAUAGGUGUGGGAUAGGCUUGAUUUCCAUUACAAAUGAUGUAACAUUGCAUAUGUUAGUACUCUUAACACUUCUUGGGACUGUGCCUCAGGGAUCACAGUCCGUAUAAGCUUAGAAGUUCUAAAAGCUAGUCAUGACCUUGGUGGAUAGGCUUGGAUAGUGUCCAGGUUAGAAUCCUCAUGUU
RNAcentral lists this long non-coding RNA (774 nucleotides) under Rattus norvegicus (Norway rat). Its description in RNAcentral is "long non-coding RNA NONRATT022158". The record is from RNAcentral. Lineage: Eukaryota; Metazoa; Chordata; Mammalia; Rodentia; Muridae.